GCUGGGCAUGGCGGCGCAUGCCUGUAGUCCCAGCUACUUGGGAGGCUGAGGCAGGAGAAUUGCUUGAACCCAGGAGACAGAGGUUGCGGUGAGCCGAGAUCGUGCCAUUGCACUCUAGCCUGGGUAACAAGAGUGAGACUCUGUCUCAA
Molecule: unclassified non-coding RNA, 149 nt
Organism: Callithrix jacchus (white-tufted-ear marmoset)
Lineage: Eukaryota; Metazoa; Chordata; Mammalia; Primates; Cebidae
Rfam family: Metazoan signal recognition particle RNA
About the family: The signal recognition particle (SRP) is a universally conserved ribonucleoprotein.
Source: Ensembl